AUGGUGGACGCCGAGGCGCCCUUGCUGCGGCCCGCCGAGGACGACGGCGACGAGGCGGCGCCGCUGGCCGGAGUCUCCGACUUCCGAGGCCGCCCGGUCAGCCGCGCCGGCUCCGGCGGCUGGCGCUCCGCCCUCUUCGUCGUCGUGUUGGAGAUCGCCGGCAACUUCGCCUUCUUCGGCGUGUCGUCGAACCUGAUCACGUACCUGACGGGGCCGCUGGGCCACUCCAACGCCGCCGCGGCCGCCGCCGUCAACGCCUGGUCCGGCACGGCCUGCCUCAUGCCGCUGCUGGGCGCCUUCGUCGCCGACUCCUGGCUCGGCCGCUACCGCUCCAUCAUCCUCGCCUGCACCCUCUACGUCCUGGGAUACGGCAUGGUCACUCUAGCUUCCACUCUACUGGAGCAAAGCUUUGCGGCUGGCGACAUCCAUAUCUCUUCCGGCCCUUCGUCGCUACAGGUGGCCUUCUUCUAUGCCUCGCUCUACCUAAUCGCCCUGGCGCAGGGCGCCGACAAGCCGUGCGCCUUGGCUUUCGCAGCCGACCAAUUUGAUCCCGAGCACCCCAAAGAGCGUGCAUCCCGUAGCUCCCUCUUUAACUGGUGGUUCUUCUCGAUGGCCGUUGGCAUCUCCAUCUCUGUCGCCGUCGUCAGCUACAUCCAGGAGAAUGUUGGUUGGGGGAUCGGCUUCGGCAUGCUUUGCAUCAUCAUGAUUUGUACGUUCGUCGUAUUCCUCUCUGGCACCCCCACCUAUCGCUUCUGCGCUCCCACCACCAAUGUUGAGAGUCCUUUCGUCCGCCUUGGUCGUAGCCUUGGCACACUCAUCAAGAGCUCAAGCUUCCCCUUCAGUACAAAUCGACACCAAGAUGAGGAUGUUGUGGCCAAGUCCGAGGAGGCGCGCAGCAUGCUCCGUCUGUUGCCGAUUUGGGCGGCAUGCCUGGCGUAUGGUGUUGCAUAUGCGCAAAUCAUGACCCUAUUCAACAAGCAGGGCCGCACCUUGGAUCGCCGCUUCUUCGGAGGCCUUGAGCUACCGCCGGCCGCACUUCAAACACUUGGGCCAGCGAGCAUCCUGUUGUUUGUCCCCAUCUACGACCGUUUGUUGGUGCCGGCACUAGGGCUCGUGACAGGCAAGCCAUCGGGGUUGACGCUUUUGCAGCGCAUGGGCGCAGGCAUGACGGUGUCAAUGGGCGCGAUCAUCGCAGCAGCGCUCGUGGAGGGCCAACGACUAGAGACGGCACGGGAGCACGGGCUGGUGGACGAUGCCGGGGCGACGGUGCCGAUGAGCUGGGUGUGGCUGGUGCCGCAGUAUGUGAUGAUGGGGGUGGCAGACGUGCUGGCGGUGGUGGGCAUGCAGGAGUUUUUCUACGACCAGAUGCCCCGUGAGCUACGCAGCCUCGGCCUAGCGCUCUACUUCAGCGUCAUGGGGAUCGGCGGCUUCAUCAGCAGCGCCCUCAUCUCCUUCAUCGACCGUGUUACUAGAAGUGGCGGCGGUGAUGGUUGGUUUGCUGACAACCUCAACCGUGCCCACCUCGACUACUUCUACUGGCUGCUCGCCGGACUCUCAGCCGCUGAGCUCGUGCUUUUCCUUUGGCUCGCCAGCUCCUACACAUAUAACAAGAGCCACAAGAGGAUUCAGCACUGA
RNAcentral lists this ribosomal RNA (1635 nucleotides) under Triticum aestivum (bread wheat). Its description in RNAcentral is "partial small subunit ribosomal RNA". Lineage: Eukaryota; Viridiplantae; Streptophyta; Magnoliopsida; Poales; Poaceae. The record is from RNAcentral.